RNAcentral lists this ribosomal RNA (493 nucleotides) under uncultured bacterium. RNAcentral's name for it is "bacterial SSU rRNA". It matches the Rfam family "Bacterial small subunit ribosomal RNA", at positions 355 to 859 of the family's 1533-position model. The record is from RNAcentral.
GGGGGAAUUUUCCCCAAUGGGCGAAACCCUGACGGAGCAAUACCGCGUGAGGGANGAAGGCCUAUGGGUUUUAAACCUCUUUUUUCAGGGAGGAACCAAAUGACGUGUACCUGAAGAAUAAGCAUCGGCUAACUCCGUGCCAGCAGCCGCGGUAAGACGGAGGAUGCAAGUGUUAUCCGGAAUCACUGGGCGUAAAGCGUCCGUAGGUGGUUUAAUAAGUCAACUGUUAAAUCUUGAGGCUUAACCUCAAAAUCGCAGUCGAAACUNUUUGACUAGAGUAUAGUAGGGGUAAAGGGAAUUUCCAGUGGAGCGGUGAAAUGCGUAGAUAUUGGAAAGAACACCGAUGGCGAAGGCACUUUACCUGGGCUAUUACUGACACUCAGAGACGAAAGCUAGGGUAGCAAAUGGGAUUAGAUACCCCAGUAGUCCUAGCUGUAAACAAUGGAUACUUGAUGUUGAACAGAUCGACCUGUGCAGUAUCAAAGCUAACGCG